UAGCUAAUCCUGGUCGGACAUCAGGAGGUUAGUGCAAUGGCAUAAGCUAGCUUGACUGCGAGCGUGACGGCGCGAGCAGGUGCGAAAGCAGGUCAUAGUGAUCCGGUGGUUCUGAAUGGAAGGGCCAUCGCUCAACGGAUAAAAGGUACUCCGGGGAUAACAGGCUGAUACCGCCCAAGAGUUCAUAUCGACGGCGGUGUUUGGCACCUCGAUGUCGGCUCAUCACAUCCUGGGGCUGAAGUAGGUCCCAAGGGUAUGGCUGUUCGCCAUUUAAAGUGGUACGCGAGCUGGGUUUAGAACGUCGUGAGACAGUUCGGUCCCUAUCUGCCGUGGGCGCUGGAGAAUUGAGGGGGGCUGCUCCUAGUACGAGAGGACCGGAGUGGACGCAUCACUGGUGUUCGGGUUGUCAUGCCAAUGGCACUGCCCGGUAGCUAAAUGCGGAAGAGAUAAGUGCUGAAAGCAUCUAAGCACGAAACUUGCCCCGAGAUGAGUUCUCCCUGAGACUU
RNAcentral lists this ribosomal RNA (506 nucleotides) under Klebsiella pneumoniae. Its description in RNAcentral is "partial 23S ribosomal RNA". It matches the Rfam family "Bacterial large subunit ribosomal RNA", at positions 2318 to 2823 of the family's 2925-position model. The record is from RNAcentral. Lineage: Bacteria; Pseudomonadati; Pseudomonadota; Gammaproteobacteria; Enterobacterales; Enterobacteriaceae. RNAcentral also lists the same sequence under 2 other names.